RNAcentral lists this long non-coding RNA (469 nucleotides) under Oryza sativa Indica Group (long-grained rice). RNAcentral's name for it is "lncRNA OsZS97_11G014030". The record is from RNAcentral. Lineage: Eukaryota; Viridiplantae; Streptophyta; Magnoliopsida; Poales; Poaceae.
AUGGAGGAGGCGGCGAGCGAACGCAUGGCAACGGUGGCAAUGACGGUGACGCGGGCAUGGCGAUGCCGCAGCGAAGGGAGAUGCACGGCCUCCACGCCGCCGCCGAUGAAGAAGCUGACGACGGCGACGGCCGGGAUGCCGAACCCCCACCCCCACCAGCGUGCCGAUGUCGAUGGCUGGGAUGCUCAACGAGGCAGAGGCGAGGUUGUCGAGGUGGAGGACCCGGCGGCGCUUGUAGAUGAAGCGGCGGCGGCGGCAUCCUCGAGGUCGGGCGGGAAAGGGAAGGCGACGGCGGUGGAGGAGGAGGAGGUGAACGGGUUCUUCGUGGAGGAGGAGGUGGGGGCGGUGUCGAACGCGUCGUCGAUCGGGGUGGCAUCGUCGGACAGCUCGACGGGAGAACUCGUCAUCGGAGAAGGAGGGGCAUUCUCGUCUCUUCAAGCCACUUUCCAGAGAAAAUGAUAUCCAAAAU